CCUACGGGUGGCAGCAGUCGAGAAUCAUUCACAAUGGGGGAAACCCUGAUGGUGCGACGCCGCGUGGGGGAAUGAAGGUCUUCGGAUUGUAAACCCCUGUCAUGUGGGAGCAAAUUAAAAAGAUAGUACCACAAGAGGAAGAGACGGCUAAAUCUGUGCCAGCAGCCGCGGUAAUACAGAGGUCUCAAGCGUUGUUCGGAAUCACUGGGCGUAAAGCGUGCGUAGGCUGUUUCGUAAGUCGUGUGUGAAAGGCGCGGGCUCAACCCGCGGACGGCACAUGAUACUGCGAGACUAGAGUAAGGGAGGGGGAACCGGAAUGCUCGGUGUAGCAGUGAAAUGCGUAGAUAUCGAGAGGAACACUCGUGGCGAAGGCGGGUUCCUGGACAUUAACUGACGCUGAGGCACGAAGGCCAGGGGAGCGAAAGGGAUUAGAUACCCUAGUAGUC
Molecule: ribosomal RNA, 446 nt
Filed under: uncultured bacterium
Lineage: Bacteria
Description: partial 16S ribosomal RNA
Rfam family: Bacterial small subunit ribosomal RNA
Source: RNAcentral